AUCACAUAACAAGCUAACUUUUCUGACAGUGGGAAUCUCCCUGACUUUCUUGACUAUGGGAGAUGGAGAGGUCAGCUUGGCCUCUCUGAAUGCUGACUCACUGAUAAUGAGGCUCUGGAAAGGAGACAGAAGGUCUGAAUAUACAGGGGUGUGUUGUACCUAGGCAUAAGAUAAGCUCUCUCCUGAUUAUAAAGACUUGCAAUGGAACUUGCUUGCUUUCUAGCCAAUGGGUUGUUAGUGGAAAUGUACCGAAUGCGCGUGUUAGAAUAUAAAAGGCUUGCUUAGAAGAGUAAGUGCAGAUAUACAAGAUGACCAGGAUGCACAAGAUGAUGGGAAUACACAAGAUGAUGCAGAUACACAUCAUGAUCAUCACAGCAAUAAAGAAAUCUUCCUGGCAUGAGAACCCUGCAUCAUGAUGCUAACUCAUGACAACCAUAAAUUUCUUGAGUUGGUUCUAGAUUUUGGCUUUCUCCAGGAACAGCAUGCAGACUUGCAGCAAAUCCUGUGCAGGUAUUCAAGGCUGACUCUGCUCCUGUGCCUUCUGUGAGAAAACUAUCCCUUUGUCAGAAGAUGCUUCAUCUCAUCAUCAGUAGUUUAAGCAUGUGACACAUGCAAGCAGACAUUUUUUUUGCCCCCAGCAUUUUCUCGUCUUUUGAUGUGACUGAAGAAAGAACCUUUCCUGGAUUGCCAUUGGUCUUCUUGUCAAAAGUCUCCCAGAUCAGACCUUUGAGAUGCUCAAAAUACAUCACCACCUCAUUCGUAGCUCCCUGCUGGGCUUCAGAUUGGAACAAUUACUUUGCCUUGAGUCGUUGCCAAUUAUUUUGCUGCUGUAUGAUUAAAUGGACUGUAAUUGAAUAGCCGAUCACCAGGAUUUAAUGAACCUCCACUGUUAAAUCUAGCCAAGUUAAAGAUUUUAUUUUUUUUUCCUUCUGUCACCUCCCAGGAUACUCAAGCUGAAUCCAGAGGCAAAAGGUCGCAGAGGAGACAAGCAAAAACAACAAUGAGAACAGGAUUUGCAGUGUGAUAUAAAAUAGCAUCAAGAAUCCGUAACGUUAAACAAUUUAUAAGCAGAGUGACUUGCAGGUUGUUUUUGCUUGGCAAAGACAUAUGCACACAUUGAUAUGAGGACAAUGAACGUGUGUGUAAGAACCAUGUGUUUUUUCCCAAUCAAGAAAAUGUUAUUUAGUAUAUAAUACAGUUGGAUUGGAGCAUACUUAUACAGUUAAAUAUACGAUUAUAUACUUACAAAAAUGGAGUCUUCAUUUAUGACUAGGAUCCUCAUAGUAAUAAGAAUAGCAUUUCUUUCCCUUAGUCCAUCUCCUAGAAUUUAGAUAUUUGUUAUCUGUUUGUAAGUUAAAAACAAAACAAAAUGCCUCAGUAAGACAGAGUAUUUGUUUUGUUUUGAAUGUGUCUAUAACAGGUUUUAUUUAAUGUACAUGCAGCUCAGCUGUUGGAACUGUUAGAAAAUUUGUGAUUUUUGUAAAAGUUUUGGCCUGAAACAUUGUGGGUUAACGAUCCUGCAGUCUGAACCACAACAGCUGAACACAUCAGGAACAUAUGUUAAUGGCCCAGUGCUGUGUUUAGAAAAGAAAUCGUGAUUCCUCUACAGUACAUCCCGCUAAGCAAAGCUUUCAGCAAAUGUUUGUGCAUGCUCAGCAUCAGCACUGAUGUGAUAGUCUUUUACAGUUUUUGGGUAGAACUGUUAAAUCAAUCACAUACAUGCCAAGCAGCCUCCUCUGUGCUCUUUGAUUCUGCCAACAGCCAUACAGUGAUUCAUCGCACUGAAGACCUCUUUAGUUGAAGACUGAGUCAGUGGAAGCAUUCUGUGCUUCAGUGAAGAAAAAGAUGCUAUAUUUCA
Molecule: long non-coding RNA, 1858 nt
Organism: Coturnix japonica (Japanese quail)
Lineage: Eukaryota; Metazoa; Chordata; Aves; Galliformes; Phasianidae
Source: Ensembl